Molecule: transfer RNA, 73 nt
Filed under: Ailuropoda melanoleuca (giant panda)
Lineage: Eukaryota; Metazoa; Chordata; Mammalia; Carnivora; Ursidae
Rfam family: tRNA
About the family: Transfer RNA (tRNA) molecules are approximately 80 nucleotides in length. Their secondary structure includes four short double-helical elements and three loops (D, anti-codon, and T loops).
Source: Rfam by way of RNAcentral
GCCUGGCUGGCUCAGUCAGUAGAGCAUGCAACUCUUGAUCUCGAGGUUGUGAGUUCAAGCCCCAUGUUGGGUG